Molecule: ribosomal RNA, 758 nt
Filed under: Pediococcus ethanolidurans
Lineage: Bacteria; Bacillati; Bacillota; Bacilli; Lactobacillales; Lactobacillaceae
Description: bacterial SSU rRNA
Rfam family: Bacterial small subunit ribosomal RNA
Source: RNAcentral
UUGAUUUUGAGAUGCUUGCAUCGAAGAUGAUUUUAACUAUAAAGUGAGUGGCGAACGGGUGAGUAACACGUGGGUAACCUGCCCAGAAGUGGGGGAUAACACCUGGAAACAGAUGCUAAUACCGCAUAACAAAAUUAACCGCAUGGUUGAUUUUUAAAAGAUGGCUUCGGCUAUCACUUCUGGAUGGACCCGCGGCGUAUUAGCUAGUUGGUGAGAUAAAGGCUCACCAAGGCAGUGAUACGUAGCCGACCUGAGAGGGUAAUCGGCCACAUUGGGACUGAGACACGGCCCAGACUCCUACGGGAGGCAGCAGUAGGGAAUCUUCCACAAUGGACGCAAGUCUGAUGGAGCAACGCCGCGUGAGUGAUGAAGGCUUUCGGGUCGUAAAACUCUGUUGUUGGAGAAGAACGUGUGUGAGAGUAACUGCUCAUGCAGUGACGGUAUCCAACCAGAAAGCCACGGCUAACUACGUGCCAGCAGCCGCGGUAAUACGUAGGUGGCAAGCGUUAUCCGGAUUUAUUGGGCGUAAAGCGAGCGCAGGCGGUCUUUUAAGUCUAAUGUGAAAGCCUUCGGCUUAACCGAAGAAGUGCAUUGGAAACUGGGAGACUUGAGUGCAGAAGAGGAGAGUGGAACUCCAUGUGUAGCGGUGAAAUGCGUAGAUAUAUGGAAGAACACCAGUGGCGAAGGCGGCUCUCUGGUCUGCAACUGACGCUGAGGCUCGAAAGCAUGGGUAGCGAACAGGAUUAGAUACCCUGGUA